Molecule: ribosomal RNA, 465 nt
Filed under: uncultured bacterium
Lineage: Bacteria
Description: partial 16S ribosomal RNA
Rfam family: Bacterial small subunit ribosomal RNA
Source: RNAcentral
GACGAACGCUGGCGGCGUGCUUAACGCAUGCAAGUCGAACGGUAAGGCCCCUUCGGGGGUACACGAGUGGCGAACGGGUGAGUAACACGUGAGCAACCUGCCCUUGACUCUGGAAUAACAGUUGGAAACAGCUGCUAAUACUGGAUAUUCAUCGUCUCCUUCCUGGGGGGUGGUGGAAAGCUCCGGCGGUCAGGGAUGGGCUCGCGGCCUAUCAGCUUGUUGGUGAGGUAAUGGCUCACCAAGGCUUCGACGGGUAGCCGGCCUGAGAGGGCGACCGGCCACAAUGGGACUGAGAUACGGCCCAGACUCCUACGGGAGGCAGCAGUGGGGAAUAUUGCACAAUGGGCGCAAGCCUGAUGCAGCAACGCCGCGUGCGGGAUGACGGCCUUCGGGUUGUAAACCGCUUUCAGUAGGGACGAAGGGUGACUGACGGUACCUACAGAAGAAGGACCGGCUAACUACGUG